GCCUACGGGGGGCAGCAGUAGGGAAUUUUCGUCAAUGGGCGCAAGCCUGAACGAGCAAUGCCGCGUGAACGAGGAAGGUCUUCGGAUCGUAAAGUUCUGUUGAAGGGGAAAAAGAGCGGAGAGAGGAAAUGGUCUCCGAUUGAUAUUACCCUUCGAGGAAGUCACGGCUAACUACGUGCCAGCAGCCGCGGUGAUACGUAGGUGGCGAGCGUUAUCCGGAAUGAUUGGGCGUAAAGGGUGCGUAGGCGGCCUGCUAAGUCUGGAGUGAAAGGUACCGGCUCAACCGGUACAGGCUCUGGAAACUG
RNAcentral lists this ribosomal RNA (305 nucleotides) under uncultured bacterium. RNAcentral's name for it is "bacterial SSU rRNA". It matches the Rfam family "Bacterial small subunit ribosomal RNA", at positions 337 to 635 of the family's 1533-position model. The record is from RNAcentral.